Sinocyclocheilus anshuiensis is the source of this 270-nucleotide long non-coding RNA. RefSeq lists it as uncharacterized. The transcript is spliced from 3 exons. The record is from RefSeq and is a predicted model, not a curated record. Lineage: Eukaryota; Metazoa; Chordata; Actinopteri; Cypriniformes; Cyprinidae.
AAAUAUGCUUUCAGUGAAAACGUCUUCAACAGGCAAAUUGUGGCUCGUGGAUUGCUGGAUGUGCUCCGGGAGUUCAGUGAUAAUGAAAAUGACUUCAUCAGCGUCAUGGAAACGGUUGCCAGGAUGUCUGAGGAUGGAGAACCGACAGUGCGAGCAGAGCUGAUGGAACAGGUACCAAACAUUGCCAUGUUCCUCCAUGAAAAUCGGCCCAAUUUCCCAGAAGCCUUCUUGCGGUAUCUGGUACCCAUUGUGGUCCGGUAUCUCACAGAC